AAUGAACGCUGGCGGCAGGCCUAAUACAUGCAAGUCGAGCGAACAGACGAAGAGCGUUCUCCUCUGACGUUGGCGACGGGCGGGUGAGUAACACGUAGAUAACCGACCGAUAGGACUAGGGUAAGGACGGGGGACCUGAUAUAGUACCGGAUAAUAGAGUGAACCGCAGGGUUCAAUGGUGAACGACGGUUUUGCUGACACUAAUAGAUGAAUCCGCGCCGGAUUAGCUAGUUGGUAAGGUAACGGCUUACCAAGGCGACGAUGCGUAGCUGAUCUGAGAGGGUGAUCGGCCACACUGGAACUGAGACACGGUCCAGACUCCUACGGGAGGCAGCAGUAGGGAAUAUUCGGCAAUGGGCGAAAGCCUGAUGCAGCCAUGCCGCGUGAGUGAAGAAGGUCUUCGGAUUGUAAAGCUCUGUUAUUAGGGAAGAACAACAGUAUGAGUAACCCUGGCCGUCUUGACGGUACCUAAAGAGUAAGCCCCGGCUAACUACGUG
RNAcentral lists this ribosomal RNA (497 nucleotides) under uncultured bacterium. Its description in RNAcentral is "partial 16S ribosomal RNA". It matches the Rfam family "Bacterial small subunit ribosomal RNA", at positions 29 to 507 of the family's 1533-position model. The record is from RNAcentral.